UGGCUCAGAACGAACGCUGGCGGCGUGCCUAACACAUGCAAGUCGAACGAGAAAGUGGAGCAAUCCAUGAGUACAGUGGCGACCGGGUGAGUAACACGUGACUAACCUACCCUCGAGUGGGGAAUAACUCCGGGAAACCGGAGCUAAUACCGCAUAACAUCGCAAGAUCAAAGCAGCAAUGCGCUUGAGGAGGGGGUCGCGGCUGAUUAGCUAGUUGGUAGGGUAACGGCCUACCAAGGCUGAGGUCGGUAUCCGGCCUGAGAGGGCGCACGGACACACUGGAACUGAAACACGGGCCAGACUCCUACGGGAUUCAGCAGUGGGG
RNAcentral lists this ribosomal RNA (325 nucleotides) under uncultured Acidobacteriota bacterium. RNAcentral describes it as "bacterial SSU rRNA". It matches the Rfam family "Bacterial small subunit ribosomal RNA", at positions 20 to 359 of the family's 1533-position model. Lineage: Bacteria; Pseudomonadati; Acidobacteriota. The record is from RNAcentral.